GGAGUUGUGGCUUAAUGGUACAGCACUUGCCUAGCAUGCGUGAGGCACUGGGUUCAAUCCCCAGCACCA
RNAcentral lists this transfer RNA (69 nucleotides) under Marmota monax (woodchuck). It matches the Rfam family "tRNA". Rfam says of the family: Transfer RNA (tRNA) molecules are approximately 80 nucleotides in length. Their secondary structure includes four short double-helical elements and three loops (D, anti-codon, and T loops). Further hydrogen bonds mediate the characteristic L-shaped molecular structure. tRNAs have two regions of fundamental functional importance: the anti-codon, which is responsible for specific mRNA codon recognition, and the 3' end, to which the tRNAs corresponding amino acid is attached (by aminoacyl-tRNA synthetases). tRNAs cope with the degeneracy of the genetic code in two manners: having more than one tRNA (with a specific anti-codon) for a particular amino acid; and 'wobble' base-pairing, i.e. permitting non-standard base-pairing at the 3rd anti-codon position. The record is from Rfam by way of RNAcentral. Lineage: Eukaryota; Metazoa; Chordata; Mammalia; Rodentia; Sciuridae.